RNAcentral lists this ribosomal RNA (497 nucleotides) under uncultured bacterium. RNAcentral's name for it is "partial 16S ribosomal RNA". It matches the Rfam family "Bacterial small subunit ribosomal RNA", at positions 28 to 507 of the family's 1533-position model. The record is from RNAcentral.
GAUGAACGCUGGCGGCGUGCCUAAUACAUGCAAGUCGAGCGAACACACGAGGAGCUUGCUCCUCUGACGUUAGCGGCGAACGGGUGAGUAACACGUGGAUAACCUACCUAUCAGACUGGGAUAACUUCGGGAAACCGGAGCUAAUACCGCAUAGUAUAUUGAACCGCAUGGUUCAAUAGUGAAAGACGGCUUUGCUUUCACUUAUAGAUUGAUCCGCAGCGCAUUAGCUAGUUGGUGAGGUAACGGCUUACCAAGGGCACGAUGCCUAACCGACCUGAGAGGGGGAUCGGCCACAUUGGGACUGAGACACGGUCCAGACUCCUACGGGAGGCAGCAGUAGGGAAUCUUCCGCAAUGGGCGAAAGCCUGACGGAGCAACGCCGCGUGAGUGAAGAAGGUUUUCGGAUCGUAAAACUCUGUUAUUAGGGAAGAACAAAUGUUUAAGUAACUAUGAGCGUCUUGACGGUAUCUAACCAGAAAGCCACGGCUAACUACGUG